GACGAACGCUGGCGGCGUGCUUAACACAUGCAAGUCGAACGGAAAGGCCCUGCUUUUGUGGGGUGCUCGAGUGGCGAACGGGUGAGUAACACGUGAGUAACCUGCCCUUGACUUUGGGAUAACUUCAGGAAACUGGGGCUAAUACCGGAUAGGAGCUCCUGCUGCAUGGUGGGGGUUGGAACGUUUCGGCGGUUGGGGUUGGACUCGCGGCUUAUCAGCUUGUUGGUGGGGUAGUGGCUUACCAAGGCCGUGACGGGUAGCCGGCCUGAGAGGGUGACCGGCCACAUUGGGACUGAGAUACGGCCCAGACUCCUACAGGAGGCAGCAGUGGGGAAUAUUGCACAAUGGGCGGAAGCCUGAUGCAGCAACGCCGCGUGCGGGAUGACGGCCUUCGGGUUGUAAACCGCUUUCGCCUGUGACGAAGCGUGAGUGACGGUAAUGGGUAAAGAAGCACCGGCUAACUACGUG
Molecule: ribosomal RNA, 468 nt
Filed under: uncultured bacterium
Lineage: Bacteria
Description: partial 16S ribosomal RNA
Rfam family: Bacterial small subunit ribosomal RNA
Source: RNAcentral